Long non-coding RNA from Gopherus evgoodei (Goodes thornscrub tortoise), 1259 nucleotides. RefSeq lists it as uncharacterized. The record is from RefSeq and is a predicted model, not a curated record. NCBI's taxonomy places the organism in Eukaryota, Metazoa, Chordata, Testudines, Testudinidae. The transcript has 2 exons.
UCCGGACGGUUGUGGCGAACUAGGAGUGGCGCCACCGGGGUGCUUAGGCCCUCUUCCUCACUUCACCGUGGCCCCUGGGGUUCGUGCUCCGAUAAAGUUCCUGAAGCUCUUCUCAUCCUGGUGGCUACAGCUGCUGGCUCAGUUCUCUCGCAGUGCAAUACCCGUUAAAAACAGCUACAUGGCUUCUCUCUUUAUGAUUGCUCCAUUUCUCUUGGUGGACGUACAAAUCCUCCUUGCAUACAGGAGUGGGAUUUAUAUCCUUGACAUUGCUCAGACACUUUCUUGACUGAAGGAAAUUAUUCGCGUGUGUGUGUAGUCCUGCCCUUACUGCAAAUGAGAGUGAAUUGCAAGCUGGGAGAAAUGAGAGCAAUUCACGGAUGUAUUGACUGCGAGAACAUGUGACUUAAGCCCUUGAAAACAAGUUAAAUGAGAAUUGAAACUGCCACUCCAUGUUUAGUUCAUCCUGCUAUGUCUGUUACACCAGAUACAUAGGGCCAGAGUCAAUGCAAAGGGCCAGAGCAGCUGGAAAUCUGCUUGGAAGGUGGGCAGCUGUAGUGUGAAGAGCAUGCAACCUCCUUGUCACUGGAGGGCUCUGUGGUUUAGAAGGGGUUAUGGUUAGGGUUUCUGGGAGAUGCGUUUGAUUCAGGGCAUCUCAGACCUUCUGCAGUGUGGGCCAAAAGAAAUACUUUUUUCACCACAGGUUAGUUAACCCAAUUAUAAACAUCAGCUAGCAUCUAUUGUAAACAGUGUAGAGAGACACUAAAGCUGACAAGCUACCAUGCUUUUAAAUACCACUACUUUUGUCUACACUAGGUGCGGAGUGGUAGUUAAAAUGUGUUUCGUUAAAUACAUUAACAUGCUUGCCUAUAAAUGGACCCUCCAAAACCGUAUUGAGGCAUGUUGAUAGGACUGCUUAGGAAGGCAUGUAGUGAGGCUACCUAUGCCUGCUUGUAGAUAAGUGGAGGGCUUCUUUCUCUGGUGGUUUUAAUCCAACACCUUACAUAAAGAGCAAUAGAUUCACAAAGAAGAAACGUGUGUGUGUGUGUGUGUGUGUGUGUGUGUGUGUGUGUGUGUGUGUGUGUGUGAUAUCACAGUAACUUCAAGAGGAGUUUGCUUAAACACAAGCAAUUUUCAAACUACUUUACAAUACAAAGACUUAAAACUAUCCAUGCAUUAUAUAUGAAAGGCAUGUAACAACAUGAUUUGUUAUGUUAGUAAAAUUUUACUGUCUCGUACAGCCUUGCCGACAUUAAAGCUGC